GUGGGUGUGGCUCAUUGGUAGAGCACUUGCCUAGCAUGCAUGAGGGCCUGGAUUCAAGCCCUAGCCCCAUA
RNAcentral lists this transfer RNA (71 nucleotides) under Fukomys damarensis (Damara mole-rat). It matches the Rfam family "tRNA". From Rfam's summary of the family: Transfer RNA (tRNA) molecules are approximately 80 nucleotides in length. Lineage: Eukaryota; Metazoa; Chordata; Mammalia; Rodentia; Bathyergidae. The record is from Rfam by way of RNAcentral.